GGUGGUCUAGUGGUUAGAGCGUCCGCCUCGAAAACGGGAGGUCGUGGGUUCGAUGUCGAGUCAUACCAAAGACU
Molecule: non-coding RNA, 74 nt
Organism: Potamilus streckersoni
Lineage: Eukaryota; Metazoa; Mollusca; Bivalvia; Unionida; Unionidae
Source: the annotation of a GenBank genome assembly